UACGUAGGGGGCUAGCGUUGUCCGGAAUCAUUGGGCGUAAAGCGCGCGUAGGCGGCCAGAUAAGUCCGGUGUGAAAGUCACAGGCUCAACCUGUGAAUGCCGCUGGAAACUGUCUGGCUAGAGUCCGGAAGGGGCGAGUGGAAUUCCUGGUGUAGCGGUGGAAUGCGCAGAUAUCAGGAGGAACACCAGUGGCGAAGGCGACUUCCUGGCCUGUUCUUGACGCUGAGGCGCGAAAGCUAGGGGAGCAAACGGG
RNAcentral lists this ribosomal RNA (253 nucleotides) under uncultured bacterium. Its description in RNAcentral is "partial 16S ribosomal RNA". It matches the Rfam family "Bacterial small subunit ribosomal RNA", at positions 524 to 776 of the family's 1533-position model. The record is from RNAcentral.